RNAcentral lists this ribosomal RNA (465 nucleotides) under Vreelandella stevensii. RNAcentral's name for it is "partial 16S ribosomal RNA". It matches the Rfam family "Bacterial small subunit ribosomal RNA", at positions 338 to 795 of the family's 1533-position model. Lineage: Bacteria; Pseudomonadati; Pseudomonadota; Gammaproteobacteria; Oceanospirillales; Halomonadaceae. The record is from RNAcentral.
CCUACGGGAGGCAGCAGUGGGGAAUAUUGGACAAUGGGGGCAACCCUGAUCCAGCCAUGCCGCGUGUGUGAAGAAGGCCCUCGGGUUGUAAAGCACUUUCAGUGAGGAAGAACGCCUGGUGGUUAAUACCCAUCAGGAAAGACAUCACUCACAGAAGAAGCACCGGCUAACUCCGUGCCAGCAGCCGCGGUAAUACGGAGGGUGCGAGCGUUAAUCGGAAUUACUGGGCGUAAAGCGCGCGUAGGUGGCUUGAUAAGCCGGUUGUGAAAGCCCCGGGCUCAACCUGGGAACGGCAUCCGGAACUGUCAAGCUAGAGUGAAGGAGAGGAAGGUAGAAUUCCCGGUGUAGCGGUGAAAUGCGUAGAGAUCGGGAGGAAUACCAGUGGCGAAGGCGGCCUUCUGGACUGACACUGACACUGAGGUGCGAAAGCGUGGGUAGCAAACAGGAUUAGAUACCCGAGUAGUC